GCAUCAUGUGUUGGUUAAAGCAGGGGACCGCAAGGCCUUGCGAUAUGAGAUGAGUUUGCGUAGCAUCAGCUAGUUGGUAGGGUAAUGGCCUACCAAGGCUAAGACGCUUAGCUGGUCUGAGAGGACGAUCAGCAACACUGGGACUGAGACACUGCCCAGACUCCUACGGGAGGCUGCAGUCGAGAAUAUUUAGCAAUGGACGAAAGUCUGACUAUGCGACGCCGCGUGAGGGAUGAAGGAUUUCGGUUCGUAAACCUCUUUUGGCAGGGAAGAAAACAUUCCAUCUAAUACAUGGAAAACUGACGGUACCUGCAGAAUAAGCCACGGCUAACUCCGUGCCAGCAGCCGCGGUAAUACGGAGGUGGCAAGCGUUACUCGGAAUUAUUGGGUGUAAAGGGCAAGUAGGCGGUCUAUUAAGUGGGGGGUGAAAUACUCCGGCUCAAUCGGAGAACAGCCUUCCAAACUGAUGGACUUGAGUGUGACAGAGGAAAAUGGAAUUCUCGGUGUAAGGGUGAAAUCUGUAGAUAUCGAGAAGAACACCAGCAGCGAAGGCGAUUUUCUGGGUCACUACUGACGCUAAAUUGCGAAAGCUAGGGGAGCAAACAGAAUUAGAUACUCUGGUAGUCCUAGCCGUAAACGAUGAGCACUAGGUGUUGGCCCCUUUAGGGGUCGGUGCCGCAGCUAACGCAUUAAGUG
Molecule: ribosomal RNA, 696 nt
Filed under: uncultured Omnitrophica bacterium
Lineage: Bacteria; Pseudomonadati; Candidatus Omnitrophota
Description: bacterial SSU rRNA
Rfam family: Bacterial small subunit ribosomal RNA
Source: RNAcentral